This 2544-nucleotide unclassified non-coding RNA is filed under the name Leishmania donovani. RNAcentral's name for it is "gene:LdHU3.35.1550(CDS-product:Rhodanese-like_dom ain_containing_protein_putative)". The record is from RNAcentral. Lineage: Eukaryota; Euglenozoa; Kinetoplastea; Trypanosomatida; Trypanosomatidae.
CGACAUGCACGCGCACAAGUAUUGUUGCACACGCAUCCGUAGGAGUAGCAAUAUUGAUAGAGGCAUAGAUCAAAGGUAAUAAGAUAGUGGUGGCUGCACAUGUCCUCACGAAAGGACCGGAGCACUAGAGAUCAAGCGGAGUAGCAUUGCCGCGAGAAGAAUGCCAAGCCCCGUCAUCACCACCACCACCUCCUUCCUUCCGUACUUUAUCGCUUCGCCACACCCUCCCCUUGCCUGAUUUACGUGUCUUUCAGCGUCACACCUGAGUUGUCAGGUCCGGUAGUGAAGGAAAAGGGGUGGGGGUGUGUUGUUGCCACGCAUACAGCGAUUCUGUUGCCAGCAUCACCGACACCCCUCUCUGCCCACUCCCUCUUUUGGUUUCCCUCCAUCAACAAGAGCGUACAGAGAGUGACGACCGUAAACAUGCUGCGCACCGGCGCUGCCACCGCUAGCUCAGCCGCGGUCUCCAGUCGCGGCAUGGGGCAGCGCAGUCACGGCCUGUCGCCACGUCAGGGCGACCUGCGUGUGGGCAAAAAGACGACGAAACCAGUCGCUGGCCUCCCCAGUGUUGGUGCCCUGCCGCUUUGCGUGCAGGGCCGCUUUCAACGGUGGUGUAACGCGGGAGGCGAUCGAGCAAGCCAUGGUGCGCGGCGAUUCAAACUGAGCACCAGUGCUCUGCACAGCGGCCAUCUCCGCUGCAGUGAACGCUGCCUGUCGGCGGGUAGCAAGGAUGAAGCGCCGAGCACAGCCAUCCGAAACGCCAGCGUCGGUACCAUUGGCGCGAGGCUCGCCGCGAAGGACCUCGCGGGUGCGGAGGAGGAACUCUGCCGCCUUCAGGAGAACGUUGACGCCUUCGCCGGCUCCUCCUCCUCUUUUCGGCAAGAGGAGAAGCACCCCAGCGGAGGUGUCGCGACCAGUGCGGCGCCGCAGACGUCAUCCUCGCCUGUGCCAAGGGAAGCGGUCGCUUCGACAACCACCGCCGACGUGGAAGGCAACGUAACAAUCACUGACGGCAAUGACGAUCGCAGCGGUGGCUACGCUGUGCCUGAGUGGCCGGAGCCGACGCUGGAAGAUAUCGACCGCUCCAUUCCGCAAGUGGACUGCGAGUUCAUCGCCAGCCUCAUCCGAAGUCGCAACCUCCGCCGCGACGAGUUCCUCACCAAGAAGGAAGCUGUUAAGCAGCGCGUAGAGGAGCUCACCAAAAAGACGACGCCGACUGUGUACGAGGCCGUCAAGCUACCUUUUGUAGGGGGGCUCGGCCUUGGCUGGCUCAGUAAGCUGAAGGGCAGCGAUGAGGCAGAGGGGAGCGAUAGUGGGCUGGUGGCCACGAGCACCGAGGCGCCGGUUGUUGCGUCGGCGGCGGCGCUGGAGACGCUGAGCGCGGAAGAGAAGGACCUGCUGCAUACGACUCGCCCCGAGUACGACGACGGCUUUGUUCUACUCGACUGCCGCACCGUGAACGAAGUGAGUUCGUGGGGCAUUAUAGAAGGCGCCAAGGUACUGCCCGCCCACGAGCUCUUCGAAGCCUUUCACGCAACGCCGGAGGAGUUUGUGCAGGACUACGGCUUUGCAAAGCCGCGGCCAGAAGAUAUCAUUAUUUGCUACUGCCAGUACGGACCGCGCUCGCUGAUGGCGGCGCAGAUUCUGAGCUGGAUGGGCUACCUAAAGGUUAUGCACUUCAGGGACGGCUACUACGAAUGGGGCAAGCAGUACAACCUUCUCCUACGGCGAUGGAUGGAGCAUGAUAAGGAGAGCGGCAACGAGCUUCGCCGCCUCGCUACCUUUCGCGCCGGCCUUGAGCUGCAGCGUGAGAUUGCUCCCGAAUUUAACGCACUACCGAUGCAGGAGGCCCGCCAGUACCUGCGAGACACGACACGCAGCCCUGGUAAGUUGGUGGUGGGCGAUGGUCUGCGGCUGGAGGCGUACAAGAUGGUGGCGAAGCUGACAGAGGGACUGGCGCCGCCGUCGCUGCCUCGUGUUCUUGAUGACGGUGGCAUUGCCUCAACUGGUAGCAGGGGUGCUGCGGAAAGCCAGACCACCAGAACGCGUCGACUCGGGGAACAGCAACUGACGCGAUUUCUUGAGCAGGCGACCGGCAUCGACCCGAAGAAGGAGCUCCAUCGGCCAGGCCUCUCUAUGAGCAUGGGCGAAGCCCAGGCGACGGUGCUGGACUCCUUGGCGUAUGGGCACGAACUGGGUGCCUCGCCGGACGCCAAGACAUCGCCCGUGUCGCCGCCGCCGCGACGGAACUAGAAGGAGUCCUCAGAGAUACGCACGUGGAGUUUUUUGCCUUUGCGUAGAUGAGGUCGCUUGCUGAGGUGGAACGGGCAAGAAGGACGGUGUACGCAGCAGCCCUGAUCGCAUGAUAUGCAUGCAGGAUGGUGUUGCUCCGGUAUCACCUCGUCCUGGAACGAGUGGUGCCGUGGAGUCGCUUCGGCGCACGUUGGGUGCAUCUGUGGGUUGCUCCUCCUCUCCCCGUAACUCGCACCCGCGCUCUCCCUCUCUCUGGCCUUUCCCUGCCAAGGGGGUAUUCGACCGCAGAUG